This is a non-coding RNA of Chiloscyllium plagiosum (whitespotted bambooshark), 928 nucleotides long. The record is from RefSeq and is a predicted model, not a curated record. NCBI's taxonomy places the organism in Eukaryota, Metazoa, Chordata, Chondrichthyes, Orectolobiformes, Hemiscylliidae.
UUUUAUAAGAAGUCAUAAUGACAAAAGCAUUCAAAGCUGUUUGCUUAAUUUCAGUUGCUAAGUGUUACACUUCAACUCCUGAUUGAUAGUUUUAUUUGGUCAUCAUAGAAACACUUUAGCUGCCCACUACAAACAACAAAACAGUGUGAUGUUUAGCUGUGAAGGAGUAUGGAGCUUUCAGACCUUCUGAAGGGUUAGUUGAAUUGAACUGUGGAACUGAAUGCAGCCAAACGUCUCCACGAAGUGAUUCCCAGAAUGGGCUGCCAUAGCAGUAAAGGCACUCUUGUGCUGGAUGGAUCCCACAAAGAUCAAGAUCAUCCCCAAAAAGAAAAAGAAGACCAGAAUUCUAAAAUUGAAAAUCCUACAAAGGAUAAUCUACCAAAUGAGAAGAACGAUGAGCUUGAAUUAGUAACGAAUUAAAUAAGACUGUUUCCCUGGUGAAGAACACAAGGCAUCGUGAACAAGAUGCAGCGAAGGAAUUCAAACCAUUAAACCUUUUUUGGAAAUUAAAACCGUCAUUUAUCUUCAUGGUCAAGAUGUUCAGAUGCAGUGAUCCAAAGGAUUCGUCAGCCUCAAAAUACUUCAGGCAGUUUGAUCAAAUCUAAAUCAGUAGAAUCAUGUUUUGAAUUAUUUUAAAGCAUUGAAAUUGAAAUCCUUUUACAAGGAUGUUUAUUUUAGCAGUAAUCAUUUUGCACAUUAGCAGAGGUUGUAAACCCUGUAGUCGAACAUUGUAAAUUGUGUUGUGUUAUUAUCAUAUACCACACUUGUAGUUACCACUAAAUAUAUUGGUGUGUUCAUCAGCAGUGUAAUAUGUAGCACAAGAUGGGGUUUUAUAAAACAUUGAUACAUAAUCACAUGAUUUUGCUGGAUGUAUUUCACUGCACUGUUCCAGCAGGUAAAAUAUAGAAAUAAAACAUUACAUCAAGAA